Molecule: RNase P RNA, 395 nt
Filed under: Hyphomicrobiales bacterium
Lineage: Bacteria; Pseudomonadati; Pseudomonadota; Alphaproteobacteria; Hyphomicrobiales
Also listed under: 2 other names
Description: RNaseP_bact_a
Rfam family: Bacterial RNase P class A
About the family: Ribonuclease P (RNase P) is a ubiquitous endoribonuclease, found in archaea, bacteria and eukarya as well as chloroplasts and mitochondria. Its best characterised activity is the generation of mature 5'-ends of tRNAs by cleaving the 5'-leader elements of precursor-tRNAs.
Source: RNAcentral
UCAGCCGGCCGGACGACCGCCGCGAGAGGAGUGAUCUUCGCGCGGAGGAAAGUCCGGGCUCCACGGAAACACGGUGCCGGAUAACGUCCGGCGGGGGUGACCCCAGGGAAAGUGCCACAGAAAGCAAACCGCCGGGCAUUGCGAUGUCCGGUAAGGGUGAAAGGGUGCGGUAAGAGCGCACCGCGCGGGCGGUAACGCAGGCGGCAAGGUAAACCCCACCGGGAGCAAAACCGAAUAGGGACGACAGGCGCUUCGGCACCAAGCCCGUUUCCGGGCCCGUCGUCCGGGUUGGUUGCUGGAGGCUGUCGGCAACGGCAGUCCCAGAGGAAUGGUCGUCACGUCGGCGAGUUCGCUCGCCGGCCUUACAGAACCCGGCUUACAGGCCGGCUGACACA